Clupea harengus (Atlantic herring) is the source of this 992-nucleotide long non-coding RNA. Lineage: Eukaryota; Metazoa; Chordata; Actinopteri; Clupeiformes; Clupeidae. The record is from Ensembl.
CUUCAGUCAACAUACAUUAGCUGCAUUCUUCUCUUUUGGAGGAUCCCAAAUGUAAACUGGCCUAAUUGGGCAGUAGCUUGUUCUGUUUCCUAUCCUUUGUUAUUCUCUAUGGAAGUCUAGUUAAGUCUUUUGAACGACUUAAAGGUGCUUUCUAUGUGCAAUGAAUCCAGAGUUUUUCCAAAGUGACAGAUUCAUCCCCUGUCCCCUUAUAAAGCUGCUUUAAGCUUUACAUUAGAUUUAAAUUUCAUUUCAUUUUCAAAACGUUGUUUUCAUUGUUACUUUCUCUAGUCCUCAAAUUGUGACUAUUAAGUCACUGUCUGCUAUAUUAAGUGCUAAUGGAAGUGCCAACAGUAAACUGAGAUGAAACAUGUUUUUUCUCCUUCUCUCUACAGCCUGACAGACUGCAGUAUUACAGAGGAAGGCUUCAGUUCUCUUGCAUCAGCACUGAGAUCAAACCCCUCACACAUCAGAGAGCUGUGGCUGAAUGGGAAUAAAGCAGGAGACUCAGAAGUGAAGCAUCUUCUUCUCUUCUGGAGGAUCCCAACUGUAAACUGGAGAUACUAGGAAAUAUGGAUGUGGUUUAUUUUGAUGUCUUACAUGUCCAGCAUGCACAGAACACAUGAGCCUGAUGUGGUGCAGUAUUACAGAUAAAGGCCUCAGAUCUUUACUAUCAGCAGUGAGAUCAAACCCAUCAGCACUCAGAGAGAUUCAGCUGGUUGGGAAUUAUCCUGGACCCUCAACAUGGCAGCUGAUCUCUGAAUUUAAGAAAGAUCCAAACUGUAAACAUAUCAGCAUAUAUAUCUAGACUCUCAUGAAUCCAUUCACAUUUUGUUCCACAUUAAAUAUUCCUCUACAUUGUGUAUAAAACAAAUAAUGUCAGUAGUGUAUCAAGAAUGUUUUCAUUAAUAUUCCCUUAAUUCUAAUAUUGAUAAUAAACAUGACCGAUGAGAACAGAUUAAUGUUUAUUGUUCAAUGAUUCUAUAUUUGUGGUC